GGCGUCCACUCUCGUCGGUCUCAGUUCAGGUGCAUUUGUGGGCAAUUUCAAGGGUUUUGUGUGACUAAAGUCAACAUUUUUUAAACGAACAAUUGCGCGUAGAAGGAAGAGGACAAGCAUUUUGUCUGUGGUAGUUCCACGGGAUAUUUUGCUGGGAUGUUUCUGCUUGAAGAGCGAGUGUGUGGGCGAGCAGUCGGAGACAAAAGUGCCGCUAGCAGGCUACUUCCUGGUUCAUGGUGGCCUUUGGAAGACUUUGGGCCGUACUACUUGUGAUUCUGUGGCGAGGGAACAGUCCCAUCUUGACGCAAACAGCAAAAAUAGACUACAAAUUCCUCCAGCAAAAGUACAGGACAUAUAUCCAAUAUGCAUGUAUUGUUGACGUGUGUAUGUUGCAUACUCCGAUGCAGCAGGUGGCAGUAUGCACUUGUCAAGCCAUGUCUGCACCUCGCCAGCUUUAUCUCAAACUUACAACGAUGCGACACUUAUGAUUCUGGAGCUAUACCAUUCACAUCUAUUUGAACAAGCUCCAGCACCCCCCGCAACCCCAAAAGGGACAAGCGGUAGAAAAUGGGUGGAUGUCUUUGUUAGCUGGCGCUGCAGGCUACCUCCUGGUCAUUGAGGACGACAUAAGAAGUGCUCAAUAGAAGAAUGGCACGUCAGCAUCCUGCAAUCAAAAUGUACGUCAGAAAGAUAUUAAGGACUGGAGUGGAGCAGUGCCAACAACAACAACAACAGAGGGGAGGCACAAAGUCCAUAGAGCUUGCUGAGAGAAAGGAGGACAGCACAUCUCUCUGGCAUUAUCUUUGGAGCUUGGAGGUCUUUGCUCUACUUUUGUGACCGCCUUGCAAACUCCAGAUUGUGUGAUGAAGACCAGAAGCUUCCAGCCUUGAUGAAGCUUCUAAUGUCACCUUUUUUACCAAGGCCAGCAGGGAUGUGAUGCUACAUGCUAAACUAGCGGGGAGUACAAGCCUAGUGCUGAAAGAUAUAAACAUCCCAUCAGUCGGCAGACAUUGUACAGGCACUUCUGCACAUUUCUAUCCUGGCAGAGUGGAAAGGAACAUAGCGAUCCUGCGGGGAGGACACCAGAACCACGUUCUUGAAGAACUGCAGACCUGACACACACACACACACACACACACACACAAUACUGACGUGGCUGAGCAGAUACUGACCUGGCUGAGCAGAUACUGACGUGGCUGAGCAGAUACUGACCUGGCUGAGCAGAUACUGACCUGGCUGAGCAGAUACUGACCUGGCUGAGCAGAUACUGACCUGGCUGAACAGAUACUGACCUGGUUUCUGGCUGAGCAGAUACAGGAAGGUGUGACGAGGAUCCACCUGGUCUCUGAAGUGCUGAGCGGUCAUAAAUCUGCUGCGGAGACACACUGUGUGAGGCUCGUCUCAUAACCCCGUCUCCUGGUGCCAAGCACCUCCGCCGCAGAAUGCACCGCCCGACGGGAGCGCCGCGGCCACACCAACCAAAGCCCACACACAAACCCUCCACGUGCAAGAACGAAUCCACCCAAAAAAAGUCACUUAACAAGAAGCAAAAACAACAAUGCUCGCGCUGGAGGAGCCGACCGCAGGGACACAACAUUAGUGUUCCCAGGUGAGGACCAGACAGCGAGAGGAAGGUGUGCAGUCUGGACAGGUAACAUCUAAAGCGAGGUCUGGUCAGCACUGAGCGGAUGAUGAUGUUCCCCAGAGAGUGACCGAUGAAGCUGCAUUGAUAUUAAAAAUUGACAUUUUAAAGUCGAUGAAGUGAGAAGAUGAAUCAUUCCAUUUGAUGGGAGCAGCAGUCUGACGCCUUCUACUGGCAGAAAGAAGUACUGCCUGAUGAAAACAAAUAUGUUUACAUUAAAUACUGUUUAUAAGCA
Molecule: long non-coding RNA, 1877 nt
Organism: Entelurus aequoreus (snake pipefish)
Lineage: Eukaryota; Metazoa; Chordata; Actinopteri; Syngnathiformes; Syngnathidae
Exons: 15
Source: RefSeq, a predicted model, not a curated record